This 231-nucleotide ribosomal RNA is filed under the name uncultured bacterium. RNAcentral describes it as "partial 16S ribosomal RNA". It matches the Rfam family "Bacterial small subunit ribosomal RNA", at positions 99 to 334 of the family's 1533-position model. The record is from RNAcentral.
CGGACGGGUGAGUAAUGUCUGGGAAACUGCCCGAUGGAGGGGGAUAACUACUGGAAACGGUAGCUAAUACCGCAUAACGUCGCAAGACCAAAGAGGGGACCUUCGGGCCUCUUGCCAUCGGAUGUGCCCAGAUGGGAUUAGCUAGUAGGUGGGGUAAUGGCUCACCUAGGCGACGAUCCCUAGCUGGUCUGAGAGGAUGACCAGCCACACUGGGACUGAGACACGGCCCAG